CUUCCAGGUGGCGUAGCCUUUGAUCCAGCUAUGCCGCGUGAGUAAUGAAGGCCCUAGGGUUGUAAAGCUCUUUCAACGGUGAAGAUAAUGACGGUAACCGUAGAAGAUGCCCCGGUUAACUUCGUGCCAGCAGCCGCGGUAAUACGAAGGGGGCUAGCGUUGUUCGGAAUAACUGGGCGUAAAGCGCACGUAGGCGGAAUGUUAAGUGAGGGGUGAAAUCCCAGGGCUCAACCCUGGAACUGCCUUUCAUACUGGCAAUCUAGAGAUCGAGAGAGGUGAGUGGAAUUCCGAGUGUAGAGGUGAAAUUCGUAGAUAUUCGGAGGAACACCAGUGGCGAAGGCGGCUCACUGGCUCGAUACUGACGCUGAGGUGCGAAAGCGUGGGGAGCAAACAGGAUUAGAUACCCUGGUAGUCCACGCCGUAAACGAUGGAAGCUAGCUGUCGGGCAGUUUAUUGUUCGGUGGCGCCGCUAACGAUUAAGCUCCCCGCCUGGGGAGUACGGCCGCAAGAUUAAAACUCAAAGAAUUGACGGGGGCCCGCACAAGCGGGGGAGCAUGUGGUUUAAUCGAAGCAACGCGAAAACCUUACGGCCCUUGACUCCCGAUCCGUUUCCAGAGUGGAAUCCUUCAUUAGCGGAUCGUGCAGGUCCUCAUGGUUUCGUCCGCUCCGUGUGUGAGUGUCGGUAAGUCCGCACAGGGCAACCUUACCUUAGUUGCAGCAUUAGUGGCCCUCAGGGAUCUCCGGGAAAGCCGAGAGGUGGAUGACUCAGCCUCAGCCUUAGCUGGCUAACCGGCUAAUGGGGGACGUGCAGAGUCGAGUCACAAUCCCAAGCUCUAGUCGAUGUCUGCAUCGGACUGAGUGAUCCUAGAUCGAACGCUCUCGGAACGUCCGGCUGCCACCGCGCACUGGAUUGUUUC
This 917-nucleotide ribosomal RNA is filed under the name uncultured bacterium. RNAcentral describes it as "bacterial SSU rRNA". It matches the Rfam family "Bacterial small subunit ribosomal RNA", at positions 364 to 1287 of the family's 1533-position model. The record is from RNAcentral.